Molecule: ribosomal RNA, 460 nt
Filed under: uncultured bacterium
Lineage: Bacteria
Description: partial 16S ribosomal RNA
Rfam family: Bacterial small subunit ribosomal RNA
Source: RNAcentral
CCUACGGGUGGCAGCAGUGAGGAAUAUUGGUCAAUGGGCGCAAGCCUGAACCAGCCAAGUCGCGUGAGGGAUGACGGUCCUAUGGAUUGUAAACCUCUUUUGUCGGGGAGCAAGGCCCGCCACGUGUGGCGGGAAGGAGAGUACCCGAAGAAAAAGCAUAGGCUAACUCCGUGCCAGCAGCCGCGGUAAUACGGAGGAUGCGAGCGUUUUCCGUAUUUAUUGGGGUUAAAGGGGGAUUAGGCGGAAGGUUAAGUAUGCGGUCCAAUGGUGGUGCUCAACACCGGCCUGCCGUUGAACCUGGUCAUCUUGUGUGCGCGAGAAGUAUGCGGAAGGCGUGGUGUAGCGGUGAAAUGCAUAGAUAUCACGCAGAACUCCGAUUGCGAAGGCAGCAUACCGGCGCUCAACUGACGCUGAGGCACGAAAGCGUGGGGAUCGAACAGGAUUAGAUACCCCGGUAGUC